RNAcentral lists this ribosomal RNA (427 nucleotides) under uncultured bacterium. Its description in RNAcentral is "partial 16S ribosomal RNA". It matches the Rfam family "Bacterial small subunit ribosomal RNA", at positions 355 to 774 of the family's 1533-position model. The record is from RNAcentral.
UAGGGAAUCUUCGGCAAUGGACGAAAGUCUGACCGAGCAACGCCGCGUGAGUGAAGAAGGUUUUCGGAUCGUAAAACUCUGUUGGUAGAGAAGAACGUUGGUGAGAGUGGAAAGCUCAUCAAGUGACGGUAACUACCCAGAAAGGGACGGCUAACUACGUGCCAGCAGCCGCGGUAAUACGUAGGUCCCGAGCGUUGUCCGGAUUUAUUGGGCGUAAAGCGAGCGCAGGUGGCUUAUUAAGUCUGGUGUAAAAGGCAGUGGCUCAACCAUUGUAUGCAUUGGAAACUUGUAGACUUGAGUGCAGGAGAGGAGAGUGGAAUUCCAUGUGUAGCGGUGAAAUGCGUAGAUAUAUGGAGGAACACCGGUGGCGAAAGCGGCUCUCUGGCCUGUAACUGACACUGAGGCUCGAAAGCGUGGGGAGCAAACA